CCCCCCCCCAUUCUCACGCCUACUCUCCCUCUCUCUUAUCUCUCUCUUUUCCCUUUCUACCACCAUGGAUAACCAUUCUCAAAGCUUCCAAGAUCCUUUCUAUACCAAGAAACUCCAUCAAAUCAAGUCCUAAACAUCUAUAUUCCUUGAAUCAAGAACUAGUUUGGAGGGAUUUUCAAGCUUGAAGCAAAAGAGAAGUAUUUUUUUUAUCCUUCCUUAAAUCAUUGAGUAAGUACUAGAUCUAUUUAGAUCUAAGCUUGAUUGAGUUAUAUAUGUGUAUAAAUGGAUUAGAUCUAGCAAGAAAAUAUCAUUUUCUUUUUCUUUGUAAUUUUCGAAAUUUAGGGGUUCUCCCCUUCAAAAAAAUUUCUUAUUCUUUUCUUAAUUUGGCAUGAGAUCUAUGCUUAUUGAGGUGUUUUGAGAUGAUUUCUAUGUGUAUUGAGAGGCUUUGCCAUGAGAUAUGAUUUUUUAUUUAGGUUAAUUUGUCUUAAAUAAGAAAUUCUUGAAUAUAUGGGUUAAAUGAUGAAUUGAUGGUGAAUAUGAGCUUAUGAGAUGACUAAUAUGAUAUUUGACGGAGUAGAUUGAUGAUUGAAGUUGAUGGUCAAAUUUCAGUGAGAGUUAGUUUGAUGUGAUUUGGGUAAAACUUAUUCUAUGGUUUAAUUGAUUAAUUGAUUGGUUAAUAAUGCAAUUAGGUGAUUCAAUUUGAUUAAUCUAAGGUUGGAUUAAUGACUUAUGCAUGUUUGUAGAUUUUUAAAAAGUUUAGUUUGUUAAAAUUGGGACUUUGUGAUCUACGUGUUAAUUGAUUAAAUUGGCUAAGUUUAAUUAUUAUUAAGCAUGAUAGAAAUGAUAAUUAGGAUCAAUUUGGUUAAUUGUCAAGAAUUCCUAAAAUUGGUUAAGUCUAGUUUACUAAUAAUUGGGAACUUUUGAUUAAUGAGAUAAAUACUUGAAUUGAUGAUGUUUAUAUGUUAGUUAGACUACUAGCAAGGAGAAAGCACGAUUAAUUUGGUUAAUGAUGUGAUUUGUGAAAGUUUCUUGAGUUUAGUUUACGUGCAGACAUGAGAUCUUAUAUAUAAGAUGAGUUAUGUUGCUGCUGGGGGCGUUUUUAGGGAUCAUUGGGGCUGGGUCCGGGGUUGCUUCCACUUUAAAGGAGGAACGGGGUUUGCCUUUGAAGCGGAACUUCUUGCGGUUAUUUAUGCAAUUAUGAUUGCACAUCAUAGAGGCUGGCAUAUGUUGUGGAUUGAAAGCGAUUCGGCCUAUAUUGUUCGUCUGUUGACUUCUAGAUCGUUGGAUGUUCCGUGGCGUUUCAUGGCGGCUUGGAGAAAGGCGCUUAAGCUCUUGGAGGAGUUUCAGUUGCAGGUGUCGCAUAUUUUUCGUGAGGGAAACUGUGCGGCAAACUUGAUGGCGAAUCAGGCUAGACCUGAGGGAUGGUGGCCCUAUGCCCGGGACGAAAUUAAAAAAGCGGUGGCCAUGGACAUGGUGACUCAUAGCCAUGUUAGGAUCAAGUUUUGACACGGGUUGCAGUUGCGGUUUCUUUUCGCGCUGCUGUUUCGGUUUGCUCAGGGAGCUUCUGGUGCGUUUCUUGGAUGCGGAUUUUUGUCAAACAGAUGGUGGGCAGGUUUCUGCACGGAUUUUGUUCAUCAGGAGGCUGGAAUGGAGUUUCUUUUUCCUCGAGCAAGAGUUGCUACCUGUUCAGCGGUGUGAUCUGCAGCUGAAUAAGGAGCAGAUCUGGUGGGCGGGCUUGGGUUUCGGGCGGUCGUUUGCUGGUGGCACCUCUUCGGCCGAUUUGAUCGCCUUGUCGUCUGGUGUGAGCUGUUGGGGGAAGAUUGUAGCCGGCAACAACCUGAUCUUUGUUUCUCAUGGAUCGGUUGGAAGAGAUUUUUUGGAGGAGGAAGGGCCUGCAGCGACGGCGUAUCACCGGCUGCUUGGUCCCUCUACCUCUGUUGAUCGUUGGCUGGAGGAGGGAAUCGGCGACGGCGUAUUACCGGCCGAUUUCACUUCUAUGACAGCUUUCAGUGUGGCCUCCGUUGUCGAUCGUGGGCUGGAGGAGGGAAUCGGCGACGGCGUAUUACCGGCCGAUUUCCCUUCUAUGACAGCUCUCAUUGUGGCCUCUGUUUUUGCUCGAUGGCUGGAGGGGGGAUUCGGCGACGGCGUUUUACCGGCCGGUUUUCCUCCUAUGACAACUUUCGGGUUUAUUUUCUUGGUUGUUGGUUGUUUCUUGCGUUUGCUUUUCUUCUUAUUUUUGUUUUGUGUUGUGAAGCCGGGAUUUUCUAGGAACGAUGGUUCGGCCGGAGUUUCUGAGAUUCUUCCAACUCAGCUUCUGACACUUUUUUAUCUUAGACGAGUACUCUUUUUCCUCAUGCUGAGGUUUUAAUGAGGCUCGGCCCUUAGUCUGCUUUUCUGUGCUUUCAAGGGUUUAGGUUUUCUUGUUUUUCUUUUUUCCUUUUAAUUUAAUCCUAUUUUAAUAAUAUAUAAGAUGAGUUAUGAGUUGAGCAUGUUUAUAUAUGGCUAUUUGAUGAUUAAUUGAGCUUAUAUAUGCGAUAUGAGACGAAACGGACCAACCCCUAAUGACUUAUGUGUUGGCCGAAUGUAAGAAGAAAAAGGGGAAGUCGAUGUUUGAAUUUUCUUGAGUUAUAUGAUUAUAUAUUUAUUUUAUUGUGUAUUAUGUGAGCUUACUUUGAAUUUAUGAGAAUAUUUUUUUCACCGAAGAAGUCCGGAGUUUAAGUAUAUUUGCUUUAUGCUCAAGUUUGGAGUUAAUUUGAGAACCUUUUUAAAGGCUACUGACCUACUGUUUUCGACGAGAUUUUGUUAUCCAAAAGUCUUGAAAAUGUUAUUCUUGGUUUAUAUGAGAGUCUUGAGCAUACCGGUAAAAUUUCAAGUCAAUUGGACUUCGUUUACUAUUUUUAUAAAAUGAAAAACUAAAACUGCUUUUUUCUGCCGAAAUAUUCGGUGAGUAGCCAAUAGAGUCAACUUUUCCAGUAUUUUUCCCUAACGUUUUGGAGCCCAAAUUUUUAUUAUUAAGACAUGAGUGUCUUAGCUAAAUACGCACCAAAUUUCAAGCCUUUUCGGCAACGUUUACUAUUUUUCAAAAAUCAAGGUUUCCAAUUGCUCAAAACUGCCGAAUAUGGUAGACUGUAGGAAAACAGUCAUAUCUCCUAAACUACUUGGAGUUUUUCAUCCUACUUUUUUUUUUGAANUUUAGGGGACAAGUUCAUUAAAAUGAGCAUUAAUUAAUUAAGUACUUCGCGAGCAAGCUUCGCUCUCAAACAAAAACAAUCUCUCUCUCUUCCCCCCCCCCCCAUUCACACGCCUACUCUCUCUCUCUCUUACCUCUAUCUCUUUUCCCUUUCUACCACCAUGGAUAACCAUUCUCAAAGCUUCCAAGAUCAUUUCUAUACCAAGAAACUCCAUCAAAUCAAGUCUUAAACAUCUAUAUUCCUUGAAUCAAGAACUAGUUUGGAGGGAUUUUCAAGCUUGAAGCAAAAGAGAAGAUUUUUAUCCUUCCUUAAAUAAUUGAGUAAGUACUAGAUCUAUUUAGAUCUAAGCUUGAUUGAGUUAUAUAUGUGUAUAAAUGGUUUAGACCUAGCAAGAAAACAUCAUUUUCUAUUUUUUAGUAAUUUUUGAAAUUUAGGGGUUCUCCCCUUCAAAAUAUUUUUCUUAUUCUUUUCUUAAUUUGGCAUGAGAUCUAUGCUUAUUGAGGUGUUUUGAGAUGAUUUCUAUGUGUAUUGAGAGACUUUGCCAUGAGAUAUGAUUUUUCAUUUAGGUUAGUUUGUCUAAAAUAAGAAAUUCUUGUAUCUAUGGAUUAAAUGAUGAAUUGAUGAUGAAUAUGAGCUUAUGAGAUGACUAAUAUGAUAUUUGAUGGAGUAGAUUGAUGAUUGAAGUUGAUGGUCAAAUUUCGGUGAGAGGUAGUUUGAUGUGAUUUGGGUAAAACUUAUUCUAUGGUUUAAUUGAUUGUUUAUUUAUGCUUUUAAGUGUGCCAAUUUAAUAGAUCUAAGGCUGGAUUAAUGAUUUAUGCAUGUUUACAAAUUUUCAAAAAGUUUAGUUUGUUAAAAAUUGGGACUUUGUGAUCUAUGUGUUAAUUGAUUAAAUUGGCUAAGUUUAAUUGUUAUUAAGCAUGAUAGAAAUGAUAAUCAGGGAUCAAUUUGGUUAAUUGUCAAGAAUGCCUAAAAUUGGAUAAGUUUAGUUUACUAAUAAUUGGGAACUUUUGAUUAAUGAGAUAAAUACUUGAAUUGAUGGUGUUUAUAUGUUAGUUAGACUACUAGCAAGGAGAAAGCAUGAUUAAUUUGGUUAAUGAUGUUGAUUUGUGAAAAUUUCCCUAGUUUAGUUUGCGUGCAUACAUGAGACCUUAUAUAUAAGAUGAGUUAUGAGUCGAGCAUGUUUAUGUAUGGCUAUUUGAUGAUUAAUUGAGCUUAUAUAUGCGAUAUGUGACGAAACGGACCAACCCCUAAUGACUUAUGUGUUGGCCGAAUGUAAGGAGUAAAAGAGAAAGUCGAUGUUUGAAUUUUCUUGAGUUAUAUGAUUAUGUAUUUAUGUUAUUGUGUAUUAUGUGAGCUUAAUUUGAAUUUUUGAGAAUUUUGCAUCGAAGAAGUCCGGAGUCUAAGCAUAAUUGCUUGUAUGUUCAAGUUUGGAGUCAUUUUAUGACCUUUUCUACCUACUGUUUCGUUGGGUUAUUGAUACCCAAAGACCUUGAAAAUUUAUGGUAAGAUUAUAUGAGAGUCUUGAGCAUACCGGUAAAAUUUCAAGUCAAUUGGACUUCGUUUACUAUUUUUAUAAAAUGCAAAACUAAAACUGCUACUUUCUGCCGAAAUGUUCGGUGAGUAGCCAAUAGAGUCACCUUUUCCAGUAUCUUUCCCUAACGUUCUGGAGCCCAAAUUUUUAUUGUUAAUACAUGAGUGUCUUAUCUAAGUACCCACCAAAUUUCAAGCCUUUUCGGCAACGUUUACUAUUUUUCAAAUCAAGGUUUUCAAUUGCUCAAACUGCCGAAUAUGGUAGACUGUAGGAAACAGUCAUAUCUCCUAAACUACUUGGAGUUUUUCAUCCUACUUUUUUUUUUAAAUGAAACUAGACUCAAAGAGGUUUCAAUUGGUAUAGGUCACGACUCCAGUGGAGUUCUGUACCGAGUCUGGUGAAGUCUUUAAAUUGAGUCAGUGCAGAAUGAUGUUUGUUUGUGACAUGUCUAUGUGUGAAUUUAUAUGCUUAUGUGAUUAUGCUUGUUUAUGUGCUUGAUUGCUAUGAGUUUAACCCGAGUUGAGUGUUAAGUCGAGAGUAGGACUUGUGAAUCCUUAGGAGUUAAGUAUACCUAGGGAUUGAGAUUUAUUUGGGUAAAUAGAAGAUGAGUGAUAAGUUAUAUCUUGAGACGAGAUUGGAUUUUAGUAAAUGAGUUUCUAACUGAGGUUUAUCUUAUCUCAUGAACCACUCACGUUGUGACAUCUGAAGAUACGAGCAGAGGACGGAGGUAAUAUCGCCCAAGUAUUACGAGAGUAAGCUAAGUUUGUCAGGUGGGCAUUAUUUUGAGUAUACAUAUUAUACGAGCUUUCUUAAAUGAUAUGAUACUUAUGAUUAUGAAUUGAGUUAAUGUUAUGCUUGAAACUAAUUGACUUGCCGAGUUUUGUUAAUAAUGACUUGUGUGUUACCCUCUACUGAUGAGACGAAUUCGGUCCUGCCACAAGCGGGAUUUUGUGCACAGAGGUGACUGUGAGCCGUCUAUCGGGUCGGCCGGUCACGGUACUUGAGAGGGAGGCCUACUUCUCAGUACCUUUGAUGAUGAGUAGUGGAUGUGGUACAUACUUAAUGAAUAUUUAAACUGCGCAGUUACUUUAUUAUGAUGUUAUGAAUUGCGAAAUUGCAUGCACAGGUUCUUCUCUAACUAAAACCCCUGUGUGUGCUUAAUGUGGCAAGUUCAAUUUAUAGCUCUAAGAGCAAGCUUUCAUUUGUUUUUCGGCAUAUGUCCACUGAGUACUUUGUACUCAGCCCUGCAUGUAUUUCUAAAUGUGCAGGAUAAGCGAGGAUGGAGAAUGGUCUGGUGUUGGCGAGGAUUUUGUUCCGAUGUUAUCCUUUUAUCGUAUUUAUAUUACAUACGGUAGCUUUUUGAUGUCGAUGUUUAUAUUUUGGACUUAGUCAAGAAGUAUACUCUCGGCUAUAUGUCUUCAUACAUAUAGUCUGUAUACGUUUUGCUGCGAGACUCUGUAAAUUAUAAACCUUUGUAAAUUUUUAACUAUGUCUACUUUGUAAACUUUGUCG
Molecule: long non-coding RNA, 6234 nt
Filed under: Salvia miltiorrhiza (redroot sage)
Lineage: Eukaryota; Viridiplantae; Streptophyta; Magnoliopsida; Lamiales; Lamiaceae
Description: long non-coding RNA (SMIL_LNC005920)
Source: RNAcentral